UUAAGCGACUAAGCGUACACGGUGGAUGCCCACGGCAGUCAGAGGCGAUGAAGGACGUGCUAAUCUGCGAUAAGCGUCGGUGAGGUGAUAUGAACCGUUAUAACCGGCGAUUUCCGAAUGGGGAAACCCAGUGUGUUUCGACACACUAUCAUUAACUGAAUCCAUAGGUUAAUGAGGCGAACCGGGGGGAACUGAAACAUCUAAGUACCCCGAGGAAAAGAAAUCAACCGAGAUUCCCCCCAGUAGCGGCGAGCGAACGGGGGAGGAGCCCAGAGCCUGAAUCAGUGUGUGUGUUAGUGGAAGCGUCUGGAAAGGCGCGCGAUACAGGGUGACAGCCCCGUACACAAAAAUGCACAUAUUGUGAGCUCGAUGAGUAGGGCGGGACACGUGGUAUCCUGUCUGAAUAUGGGGGGGGACCAUCCUCCAAGGCUAAAUACUCCUGACUGACCGAUAGUGAACCAGUACCGUGAGGGAAAGGCGAAAAGAACCCCGGCGAGGGGAGUGAAAAAGAACCUGAAACCGUGUACGUACAAGCAGUGGGAGCCUCUUAAUGGGGUGACUGCGUACCUUUUGUAUAAUGGGUCAGCGACUUAUAUUCUGUAGCAAGGUUAACCGAAUAGGGGGAGCCGAAGGGAAACCGAGUCUUAACUGGGCGUUAAGUUGCAGGGUAUAGACCCGAAACCCGGUGAUCUAGCCAUGGGCAGGUUGAAGGUUGGGUAACACUAACUGGAGGACCGAACCGACUAAUGUUGAAAAAAUUAGCGGAUGACUUGUGGCUGGGGGGUGAAAGGCCAAUCAAACCGGGAGAUAGCUGGUUCUCCCCGAAAGCUAUUUAGGUAGCGCCUCGUGAAUUCAUCUCCGGGGGUAGAGCACUGUUUCGGCAAGGGGGUCAUCCCGACUUACCAACCCGAUGCAAACUGCGAAUACCGGAGAAUGUUAUCACGGGAGACACACGGCGGGUGCUAACGUCCGUCGUGAAGAGGGAAACAACCCAGACCGCCAGCUAAGGUCCCAAAGUCAUGGUUAAGUGGGAAACGAUGUGGGAAGGCCCAGACAGCCGGGAUGUUGGCUUAGAAGCAGCCAUCAUUUAAAGAAAGCGUAAUAGCUCACUGGUCGAGUCGGCCUGCGCGGAAGAUGUAACGGGGCUAAACCAUGCACCGAAGCUGCGGCAGCGACACUAUGUGUUGUUGGGUAGGGGAGCGUUCUGUAAGCCUGUGAAGGUGGCCUGUGAGGGUUGCUGGAGGUAUCAGAAGUGCGAAUGCUGACAUAAGUAACGAUAAAGCGGGUGAAAAGCCCGCUCGCCGGAAGACCAAGGGUUCCUGUCCAACGUUAAUCGGGGCAGGGGUGAGUCGACCCCCUAAGGCGAGGCCGAAAGGCGUAGUCGAUGGGAAACAGGUUAAUAUUCCUGUACUUGGUGUUACUGCGAAGGGGGGGGACGGAGAAGGCUAUGUUGGCCGGGCGACGGUUGUCCCGGUUUAAGCGUGUAGGCUGGUUUUCCGGGCAAAUCCGGAAAACCAAGGCUGAGGCGUGAUGACGAGGCACUACGGUGCUGAAGCGACAAAUGCCCUGCUUCCGGGAAAAGCCUCUAAGCAUCAGGUAACAUCAAAUCGUACCCCCAAACCGACACAGGUGGUCAGGUAGAGAAUACCAAGGCGCUUGAGAGAACUCGGGUGAAGGAACUAGGCAAAAUGGUGCCGUAACUUCGGGAGAAGGCACGCUGAUAUGUAGGUGAAGCGACUUGCUCGUGGAGCUGAAAUCAGUCGAAGAUACCAGCUGGCUGCAACUGUUUAUUAAAAAACACAGCACUGUGCAAACACGAAAGUGGACGUAUACGGUGUGACGCCUGCCCGGUGCCGGAAGGUUAAUUGAUGGGGUUAGCGGUAACGCGAAGCUCUUGAUCGAAGCCCCGGUAAACGGCGGCCGUAACUAUAACGGUCCUAAGGUAGCGAAAUUCCUUGUCGGGUAAGUUCCGACCUGCACGAAUGGCGUAAUGAUGGCCGGGCUGUCUCCACCCGAGACUCAGUGAAAUUGAACUCGCUGUGAAGAUGCAGUGUACCCGCGGCAAGACGGAAAGACCCCGUGAACCUUUACUAUAGCUUGACACUGAACAUUGAGCCUUGAUGUGUAGGAUAGGUGGGAGGCUUUGAAGUGUGGACGCCAGUCUGCAUGGAGCCGACCUUGAAAUACCACCCUUUAAUGUUUGAUGUUCUAACGUGGGCCCCUAAUCGGGGUUGCGGACAGUGUCUGGUGGGUAGUUUGACUGGGGCGGUCUCCUCCCUAAAGAGUAACGGAGGAGCACGAAGGUUGGCUAAUCUCGGUCGGACAUCAGGAGGUUAGUGCAAUGGCAUAAGCCAGCUUGACUGCGAGCGUGACGGCGCGAGCAGGUGCGAAAGCAGGUCAUAGUGAUCCGGUGGUUCUGAAUGGAAGGGCCAUCGCUCAACGGAUAAAAGGUACUCCGGGGAUAACAGGCUGAUACCGCCCAAGAGUUCAUAUCGACGGCGGUGUUUGGCACCUCGAUGUCGGCUCAUCACAUCCUGGGGCUGAAGUAGGUCCCAAGGGUAUGGCUGUUCGCCAUUUAAAGUGGUACGCGAGCUGGGUUUAGAACGUCGUGAGACAGUUCGGUCCCCUAUCUGCCGUGGGCGCUGGAGAACUGAGGGGGGGGCUGCUCCUAGUACGAGAGGACCGGAGUGGACGCAUCACUGGUGUUCGGGUUGUCAUGCCAAUGGCACUGCCCGGUAGCUAAAUGCGGAAGAGAUAAGUGCUGAAAGCAUCUAAGCACGAAACUUGCCCCGAGAUGAGUUCUCCCUGAGACUUAGAGUCUCCUGAAGGAACGUUGAAGACGACGACGUUGAUAGGCCGGGUGUGUAAGCGCAGCGAUGCGUUGAGCUAACCGGUACUAAUGAACCGUGAGGCUUAACCUU
RNAcentral lists this ribosomal RNA (2921 nucleotides) under Escherichia coli. RNAcentral's name for it is "23S ribosomal RNA". It matches the Rfam family "Bacterial large subunit ribosomal RNA". The record is from RNAcentral. Lineage: Bacteria; Pseudomonadati; Pseudomonadota; Gammaproteobacteria; Enterobacterales; Enterobacteriaceae.